RNAcentral lists this transfer RNA (73 nucleotides) under Canis lupus familiaris (dog). It matches the Rfam family "tRNA". Rfam says of the family: Transfer RNA (tRNA) molecules are approximately 80 nucleotides in length. Their secondary structure includes four short double-helical elements and three loops (D, anti-codon, and T loops). Lineage: Eukaryota; Metazoa; Chordata; Mammalia; Carnivora; Canidae. The record is from Rfam by way of RNAcentral. RNAcentral also lists the same sequence under 1 other name.
ACCUGGCCAGCUCAGUUGAUAGAGUAUGUGACUCUUGAUCUCAGGGUUAUGGGUUCAAGCCCCACGUUGGGUG